Non-coding RNA from Salvia hispanica, 479 nucleotides. The record is from RefSeq and is a predicted model, not a curated record. NCBI's taxonomy places the organism in Eukaryota, Viridiplantae, Streptophyta, Magnoliopsida, Lamiales, Lamiaceae.
AAAAAAAAAGGCAACUCCUAUUGAGUAACAAUGGCUUCUCAAAUAAGAUUAAACAUCGGCGACAGCUCCAAGCCUCCACCGAUGGAUGACGAGGGUAGCAGGCUGAGGUUGUUGGGCGGUGACGGUCCGAUCCGGGGGCGUGAAGCAGACGGCGUAAAGCUGGCAAGUGAACUGUGAGGCACGGCGGUGGAGCAGCGGGACACGGCGGAAGAAGCGGCGAGGCGGGUGUGGUCGUGGCGGCUCCGAGUUGAGAGAGAAGAAGAGAGAGUGGUAGGCGGCGGCGUCUGGUGGGUGUGGUGGCGUGGAAAGGCUAAUUCCGCCGAUUGAGAUAGAGGAGGGGGAAGAGAGGGUGAGGCGCCGAGUGAGAGAGAGGGAGGCGGCUUUUUGUCUUGUAUGGAGUAUUACUAUAUUAGUUAAUGUCUAUUGUGUGUAUAUUAUUUGGGCCUUUAAUUUAUUAUUAUGUAAUUUUAAAAUACUUA